This 32988-nucleotide long non-coding RNA is filed under the name Lactuca sativa (garden lettuce). RNAcentral's name for it is "long non-coding RNA (LSAT_LNC005834)". The record is from RNAcentral. Lineage: Eukaryota; Viridiplantae; Streptophyta; Magnoliopsida; Asterales; Asteraceae.
GACUUUCUUAUUUUAACACUGAAACUUCUAUUUCUCAGAGGAAGCACAAAUCGUCUUAUAUUUUCUCAUCCUUAUCUUUUGUUCCUCAAACCCGGUUGCCGCCCUUCUCCUCCAAUACUGUUCAUUUGCGUUCUUAUUAAUUUUUUUUUCCGUUCUUCUAACCCUAGAACCAACCAGCGGAGGUACCUUGUCUUCUUUUCAUCCGGUAGACCGUUGGGACAGAAGGUAGUCACGAGCAGCAACAACAGCAGGCAAAUGGCGGCAAUAAGUGGCGUUGAGUGGAAGUGGGUGGCUCCGCUGCUCCCUUCCUUGCAUCCGUCUGUCAAGAAUGGUAAAUCCAGAUGAGGUUGAAAUUUCACGUGGUGGAAUUUUGGAAGUCAUCACCACUCUAUAUGCUAAAAUUUCACCGUUCUUUGAAAAAGAAACCCCUGAAGCGUCCGCGAAUAACCAUGAAGACCAACAAGUCGUCGGUUUCUUCCAAUUUUGUUGUCUUUGGAGUUUAGUUAUUUGCUUUGAAAUUGGUUUAACAAAUUUGAAGAAAUUUGUUUUGGGUUAUCUUUAAUUAACUCUAUCUAUUGGAUUUCCAUCUGAAAUUGGUACUAAGAUUAAAUUGUUUGUUUGUAUUGAUUCUCAUGAUUUCAAUUUUUUUUUGGUUCUUCAAUGAUACAGAGGUUAGCUGAUAUGAAAAUGUUAGCAUAUAUUUUUUUUGGGUUAUCUUUAAUUAGGUGUGUCAAUUGGAUUUCCAUAUGAAAUUGGUACUAAGAUUAAAUUGUUUAUUUGUAUUGAUUCUCAUGAUUUCAAUUUUUUUUUUUGUUCUUCAAGGAUACAGGAUACAGAGGUUAGCUGAUAUGAAAAGGUUAGCAUAUAUGAAUCAAACGGUAAAACUUGCAAAAAUUGGAUUGUUUAUUUCUCUUUUAAAUAAUUUGCAAAAAUAGCUCAUUGUUAUACUGUGGAGUCCAUUCAGAUCAUUGUCUGUUGAAUUGGAGGCUUUUAUACUUAUAAAGCUUUUCGUCUCAAAUAGAAUUCGCUAUUUAGAAAAUGUAGCAGCAAAACAGCUCCAGUGAGAUUUUUUUUUUAGUUUUUUCGGAUAAGAAAGUAAAAAUAAAAUUCCAUUGUAUCAUUUCAUCAAACACUUGGCUUUUAAUUUUUUUUAUAGCAGCCUAACAAUGGGAAGAAAGAUUACAAGUUUGGGUUUAGGUUCAUUGUACAUUCUUAUAAUUAUAUAUUAAAAAUGAUUUUUAAUUUUUUUUAUUGAUUUAUUUAUGUAUUUUAGAUGCUUAAUUAUUUGUCGAUUUCUAUGGAUGAUGAUACUUCGUAGGCUUUAAUACUGGCUGCACUCUCUGAUUCGGUGACCUUCCUACUUCAUUUGUAUUUUCUUUAACUGAUCUUUUUUUUUUUUUUUUUAAAUUAUGGAGUGUUUAUUUAAAACACGUAACGAUGGUGAAUAUAUAAUUGCAGGAACAAUAAUUAUUUUAUCAUAUUUUGGUUUUUAUUUAUUCUGCAAAAGAAUUGUUUAUUUUCUGGAAAUUUUUAUAAGUUUGCUCUUAAAUAUGUCAAAAGUUAGAUAAGAUCUUAAAACACGCUCUUUUUUGUUUGAAAUUCUUGCAGGUGUUGUAGAUGUGAAAAAUUACUGAUUUACCCUUUUCACAUCUGGAUAUGAACCCCUGGAUGUUGGGACAAGACUUCAUGCUAUAGAAGGAUCAUCUUGCUAAGAAAUCAAGGAUGAGAUUUCUCUCUUUCGCGACAUGAUUUUUUGCUUCUCAAGUUAAAACAUCUUUGAAAAAAAAAUAUAAUUGUUUGUGCUUAUCUCUUUUGAUUCUCAAGUUUUUGUUUUCCUAAACGAAUCCGGUGUUAGAGCUUAAAAUAAGGAAAAAAAAAUGAACACAGCGCCAACGGCGCGCAUGAUUCCCCUCUAGUUUAUAUGUAAAGACUAAAAACAAUUAUUUUCAAUAGAUAAAUUAAAUAUCCUCCUACUUUUGUUCUUACAAAUCCUCAUACCCAAUUAAAUGAUGACAUGUGUUAUUUUAAUAUACAAAAAUAUCAUUAAAUGAACAUUAAAUAUGACACAUGUCAUCAUUUAAUUGGGUAGGAAGAUUUGUUGAAACAAAAGGUAAGAGGAUAUUUAAUUUCUAUCCUCCUACUUUUGUUCGUACAAAUCCUCUUAUCCAAUUAAAUGAUGACAUGUGUUAUUUUAAUAUACAAAAAUAUCAUUAAAUGAACAUUAAAUAUUAAAUAUGACACAUGUCAAAAUGAACAUUAAACAUUAAAUAUUAAAUAUAACACAUGUCAUCAUUUAAUUGAGUAGGAAGAUUUGUAAGAACAAAAAGUAGAAGGAUAUUUAAUUUCUCAAAAAUUAAUGGUUACUUACUUUACUUUGUUUGUUAAAUAUUCAAUCAAACAUUAAUCCCAUUAAAUUGAUCGGGAAAUCAACUUAUGAUCGACCUCAAUUUCCAAAUUAAAUCUCUCAAAAAAGGAAAAUGAGAUAGAAAUGAAAGCAAUAAAUACAAGUGGUUAAUACUUCUUGACUACUCGACCGUUUAAUACAUUUAAAACAAACAAUACAAAAUUUAAUUAUUUUAUUAUUAAAAUAACACAUGUCAUCGUUUAAUUGGGUAGAACGAUUUGUAGGAACAAAAAUAGGAGGAUAUUUAAUUUCUCUUAAUUUUUUUAAUUAGAAAAUUUUAAAAGUAAAAGCUUUUCUAAUUAAUUUGUUUUCUUUUGCUUUUAUUAAAUAGAUUUAUGUAAAUUUGAAAAUCUAAAAUCGAAAGCACUUUUUAACAUUUAUAUUUAUAUUUUUUCUGUUUUAGUAAGUCUAUUCUAAUAAAUAAAUAUCUUUUUUGUCACGUGUCAUAUUUUCAUUUAUUUUUCUAUAUGUAAUUUUAUGGUUAUUUUAAAUUAAUUUUUUCCACAUAAUAUUUUAUUGUUUUUUUGUAUUUUAUUAAAUUUCACAUAAUAUUAAUAAGCAAUAAUUAUAAUAAAUAUCAUAAUAAAUUGAUAUCAAGUUCAUUAUGCAGACUUUAUUAAUUUUAAAAUUCUUAAAUUAGCUUAAUGACAUAAUUUAUUAUUCCCUCCGUCUCAUAUUAAUUGUUCAUGUUUUCUUUUUAGCUUUCUUAAAAUAAUAGCAUAUUUCUAAAAAUAAAUAUCUCUUUUACUAAAAUCUCCCUUUAAACUACCAUCGAAUUAAAUGCAACAAAAUAGUACAACUGUCAUUUCAUUUAAUAAAGUUAAUGAUAGUUAAUGUAUCCUUAAUUUGUAUCUUUUUUGUCUGUGGACAACAAUUUUGGGAUGAAAUGAGUAUAAAUUAUUAAUUAGUACCUAUCAUAUGACUUGGUAAAAUUCAAUUUUGACUGAUUUUAUGCUAUGUACAAACAAGUUCAUGAACAAUUAGUUUAUUGGUUUUUCUACAGAAAAUAACCAUAAGAGAGAAAGAAAAGGAGGUGUAACUCCUAGAGUAAGAAGAGUUGGACCCAUGAGAUGAUGUAGACACGUGUCUGUUAUGUAACAAUUCAUUUGUGAGGAACUGUUUGAAAAAAGAAGAGAACUGAACCUUAUAUGUAAUAAGGUACAAUUAAAUAAAGAUUAUGAAAGUGCAGAAAAGGAUGAGAAGUUAGUGGACUCAUGAUAAGAGUCUAAGGUCGGGUAUAAAGUCGCAGUAGAGAAUGUGAUGACCAAGUGUCAUAUAGAUGUGAGAAGUUAGUAACAGUGGAAGUAUGUGACUCCCCGAUGUAAAAGAUAAGUAUGCUUGGUAAGAUACAUCUUUUGAUGUAUGAAGCAUAGAUUUUGUAAGUAGAAGGGUGGAAGUAAAAGAAGUUGGCUGGUGAGCGGCUAAGAGUUAAAGAAAUUCAAAAUUACUAAUUUUACUACAUGAAAAUUAUGAGAAAAGGGAUAGAAAAAACUUAUGGAUUAAGGAAUGGAAUGGUGAGAUUGAAAAUAUAUAAGUAUAGUGUGUAUGUAGUGUAUGGGAAUUGUACACAUGUUGCACUUGUUAUGAUUCAAUGGAAUCAUAAAGUUAUCCGAGGAUCGAGUGGUUUGGGAUGAGAAAGGCUAACAUGGUAUUUGGAAGAAUUUGCCAUGUUUAGAAACUAGGAGACUUGAAGAGAGAAGAGAGGGAUGAUAGAAUUUUUGGCUAUCUCUUAUGAAAUAGGAGUGGAUGUGUCACACCCCGAAUCAGACGACAGAAACGUCAGAGGGCUAGUGUGACUAUCAAUUGAAAUAUCAUCACAAUGAAUAUACAUGAACAACACAUACGUCACCAACAUUACAUAGUACAACUGUCAUUGUUCACAUCAAGUACAUUGUUUAAAUAUUACAAAUCCAUAGCAUAAAUUGUUUGAGAGUCACAAAACAUAACAUCCUAACACACUUGGUAACUUUCUUCAGCUUAUCUGUUACCUGAGAAUACAAGUUGUUUUGAAAACGUCAACAUAUAUAAUGUUGGUGAGCUCAUAAGCAUGUUUGACAUAAAAUGGUUUGUAUUGUUUGUAAAACCUAGAAAAUCCGAUAUUUUUUGUAACAAAAGUUGUUUAUGAAAAAGAAGUGAUGAUCCCAUAAGUAUAUAUGUAUGUGAUUUCAAAACAUGUAAAAAUGAAUGACUUUCAUAAUUGUUCAUUGUAUUGUAGUUGUUGUAUGUAGAAGUGAAUAAUUUCGUUCCCCGGAAAACCCGAUGUUUUCCAAUUAAAAUAGUAUGGUAGUUUUGUAUUAUUGUAUAAAUCACUUUGCCUCGUCACAGUGUAUGAAUAUGAUUUCCCAUGAAUGAUGAUAUGGUAAUGGAUCUCUAUGUGAGUCGUUAUAACCAUGCAUAAUAAUGACUAUUUCGCCUGUCUUGGCAUUUUUACAAACGCCGGUUUUGAAUUAAGAUUUUGUCACCCUAGACCGGCCGAGUCUAACUAUAGCGAACAACUCAGGUGUGGGGGAGUCACCCCCGUAUAGAUCUAUACACAAACUCUACCCUCCCUCUAGGGGAAUCUGGUUAUAACUACAGGCUACAACCGACACUUAUUGGUGCCAACCGAUAAUUCUCACUAAAUCCCUAUUAUUACCCCAUGAAUUUGAAUAGCAUUGAUUACAACCCGUUUGAUGUUUACAUGAAUAUGAAUAAAGCCUAACAAACACGAAAAAGGACAACUAUGGAUCACUAAUCAUGUAUGUUGUUACAGACUGACGAGUAUGCGACGGACACGUUAGCCCGUUAAGCAUAUAAUUGAUUUGGACCAUACUAGCAAUGCCAAUGGGCCACUAAGGCCCAAUACCAUUUAAAGCCAUUAAGGGUCCAUUAGACAUGUAAUUGGGCCAUCAGAAGCACAAUAAACAUGUAUCGUUUAUGUUGGGCCCUAUAGUCAUGUUAAUGGGUCACGAAGGCCCAAUAAGCAUGAUUAGAAGUAUUAAAGCCCAACCGAUAUAAUGUUUACUUGUUUUUUAUAGUAUUAAUGUCGUAAGGUUUGUUUCACACGAAUUGUUUAAAUAAAAAAGUCACCACAUUCGCCAAAUUGUUUUAUAACGAUAUUUAGAUUUAUAAAAAAAAAUAUAAAUAUUUUUCUAUUUAAAUCCAUAAUUUAUUAAAAUUAUGUAUUUUUGACCCAAUUAUUUUAAUAUUAACAUAAUUGACCCAGAAAUAAUUUUUGACCAAUUCAGCCCCUUUUCUAGUAAAAAGGACAAAUUUUUACCCCUUUUUAUGAAAAAUGACAUUUUAGGUCCUUAGAUUAUGUUUCUUGACAUUUUCGGCCCAAACACUCAUUUAAAUCAUGUUUUCAGCCCAAAAUCAGGUUUUGGACAGUUUCAGCUUUUUAAUUAAAAAGAUUUACACUUGUAGUCCAAAUUUUCGCAAUUUUUACAAUUUUAGCCCAAAAUCCAAAAACUUUGCAUUUUUAGUUCUACUUGGUAAGAAAGGCAUUUUCAGCCCCUGAAAUUUGUUUUUUAUGUUUUUAACUCAUAUUUUGAUAAACUUGCAAUUUCAGUCCCUUAAGUUUCAUAUUUUUCGCAAAUUGGGCCUAAAAGCCGAAAAGCCCAAACUUUAGCCCAUUAGGCUACAAUUUACACUUUUAGGCCUUUAAAAACCGUGAUUUUCAUAAUAAUUCAUAUUUUAAGUGAUUUGACCCUUUUGACCCUUAUAAAAACCGUAAAUGAUAUCAUUUCUUCCAUUUUUUGCUUAUUUGUCAAAAAUGGUUCAUAAAUAGAAUUUAUGUUUUGUUUUACUUAGUUUGAACUUGUAUAAUACUUUUGCCUUGAUAAUAAUAUGUAUAAGAUAUCUUAGGUCACAUAUUUCCUUAUCAAGGUUAAGAAUCUCAAAUAGAUCAAGUUUCUAACAUAUAUUCAUCAAAUAAAUUUAAGAAAUCACACAUAUCAUACAAAAACACAUGGAUCUACACAUUUUACUUGUAUUCUCCCCCAUAAAUCAUGUAAAAACCAAAAACAAGGGGUAUGAACUCACCUUUGCUUUGUUGUUUCGGUUUUGAAGAAGAAGUGGAAGGGUUUUUGGUCUUAGUACACCUUUGAUGUAGAUAUCGAGUUUAGGAAGAUUUCUAGGAGUAUAAACACCAAAAAAUUUGUUUAAACGAAUGAUCUAACAAGAGAGUGAAGUCAUGAAGCUUGGAUGUGUAAAGACUUACCAAAAGUGAUGAUUAUCUUGUAAAAAUCCUCUUGAGACACAAGCAAAACCUUGAGAGUUUUUGGAGGAAGAAGGAGGAUGAUUUAGAGAUGUUUGGAGAGAGUUUGGUGUAAUGUGUGUGUAUGUGUUUGGGGCUCUCGAUCAAGUAGAAGAAGAGAGGGAAGAGACAGGUGGUGAAAUGACUAACAUGGAUACAUGAAGGAUCUUGCAUGGAUACAUUGUGUAUAAAAUGGAGGUGGCAUCUCCAAGUCAACUCCCAUCCUCUAUUUCCAUUUCAUUUCUCAUUUUUUUUAUUUAUUGGAUGAUGGGCCGAGAUUUUGGGCCAAGAAGAAAGGAUAGAGUAGAUUUGGUCCAUUUACCUUAGCUAGGAUAUUUGGAUCCUAAAAAUAGAAUUUUUCGGCCCAUUGGGCCCUUGGAAGCAUUAACGGCCCAAAAAGAAUAAAAGAAUGGGUUUAUGGCCCAUUAGGGCUAAUUAGAUUUGUUAUGGCCCAAUAAGGCCCAUUGAAGGUAAGCUAAUCCAUUUUAAGCCCAUUAUGGCCGAAAAUGUUAAGUUUCAUGAAAAUGGGUCCAAUUAGAGCCCAUUUAAGAGUUCUAACCCAAAAUAGUCAAAAUGGAGGCUUAUUGGUCCAUUAGGCCCAAUAAGAAAAUCCUAGUCCAAAAUGGACUUAAACCGGGAUUUUUAGGGUUUCCAAUAUGAAGUUGACUAUUUGAAGUGUUUGCAUAGAGUGUUUGAUGGAAUUUUGUUGUCGUUAAAUAAACAUCAUGUAUGUUUUCAAGUUUUAGUCACAAAUGUCAUCAUUGUUAAUGUUUACAAAAACAUUAGAAUUCCUAGCUGUGACAGCCGAAAAUCCAAGGUCAAUGGUGCCUUUUAUAGUGCAACUUGGAAACCCUAUAUAACACUUAAAUGAAUAAAAUAAUAUUAAUUCAAAUUGGUAACUAGCCAGCUUCCUAUUUAUCUGCAAGGAAUAUUCCAGAUACCCUGGAAUACCCUAAAAUUGGCCACCCCUUCCAAGGAUGAUUCUGGAACCUCUCAUGUUCAACUAUUGAACAAUUCCACUUUAACCCUUGCACUUUUAAUUAAUCCACUUAAUCCCAAAAUUAACUCUAAUUAAUUUUUGAUUAAUUCUUAAUUAAAUAUUGCUAUUUCUAAUUAAUAUAUUAUUUUCAUAACAUAUUAAUAAAUUCAUUUAUUGCUAUUUAUUAAUCAUAUAAUAAAUCAAUAAAUCAGUCUCUCUUUUUUUUUCUCUCUCUCUCUCUAAAAUUCAUCAUAUCCAGUUACUAAGGUUGAGGGCAAUCCAAAAGGACUUUGCUAAUAAAUCAAGUAUAUAGUAAUUCAGUUAUUAGCUUAUACACCUAAUCCAACAAUAUCCCACUUGGAUAAGUCUAUAACUGUAAUUACCAGUAUAACUUCUAAAUUAGACAUCAAAGAGUGCUUCCAUAGCAACUGCCGAACUCUAAACUAAACAGAUAUUGGUCCUAAGAUAAGUGAUCAAAUAUUCCUCCGUUCUUAUAAAUAUCAUAUGGACAUGAGACAUUAACUAGAAUCAAUCUCAUUGUCCAAAAUUUUGUUUCCCGAUUUCCUGAUUUGUGAUUACGUCACAAGACUUCUAACUGAACACAUCAAUUAUGUCCUAGUUGGGCCCAACAAUAUAAGUCAACACCAAAUCACUGAGGGGACCAAAGAUAUUGCUUUUCCCGUUAGGGCAACAAGAACGAAUAAACUUUGACUUAUAUUCUUGUAUCAUUUACUCACAAAUCAUACAUGACACUAUGUUUUAUAACAUCAUGUUACUUAUGUGUUUUCACAACAACAAUGACCAACUAACUUGUAAAUUACAACUCAUAUAUCUUCGUUUUAAGAAUAUAAGAUAUUAUCGUCUCGCAGUUACUCAUGAUAUAAUCCAUGAAGUAAUUCUUUGAGCGUGAGNACCCAGAGCCGACAAGAAAAGUUAUGCAGACAGACGCCGGUCCAAACUUGAGUUUCAGGUCGGCGACUUCGUACUCCUGAAGGCCUCUCCUUGGAAAGGAGUGAUUCAAUUCGGGAAGAGGGGCAAGUUGGGGUCCCGGUAUAUUGGGCCUUUUCGUGUGGUUGCGAAAGUAGGCCGGGUNUUAAGAAUAUAAGAUAUUAUCGUCUCGCAGUUACUCAUGAUAUAAUCCAUGAAGUAAUUCUUUGAGCGUGAGUUUAUUCAACACUUAAAUCUCCAUUUCUAAGUACGCAUGAAUGUUGUAGAAAUACAAUUGCUAUGUAUAACCUCCUUAGACAAUCUACAAUCUAAUUCAUGUCAGUCUUCAUUCACCACUUACUUCCCAAAGUAUGAGCAAAUGUUUAGCUUCGAAUAAUCAAAUUAUUCAAGAACUAAAACAUGCAAAGUGAAACACAAUGAUAAACUAAUUAACUACGGUCUCAAAACUACUAAAUAUAAAUAAUCUCUAUUAUUUAAUCACCAUAAUUAUUACAACUUUAUUCAUUACAAAAUGUUUCAAGUAAUCAACUAACUACUUGAAUCAAACAUCAGUCAUGCCAUGUUAUGAACAUACAUACUAUGUCUCUUUAUGGUCCUUUUUUGUGAACAGAUCAACUAGAGAUUAUUCUAAUGAUGCUCAUUUCACAAUUUCAAAUUCUUGUCACUAUCUAAAAUGUAUUGGAAUUCCAACUUUACUUGCACCGACCUUCUGUGAUGUCGAGGCUUCUAAGUCACAGAGAUUGAGCCAACAAUAUUAUAGAAUGUUCCAUUGGAAUGUAACAGCCCGGAAUUCCAGAUAUUGGAAUGUAAGAGGGGACUCGGCGAGUUGGAGCUCAGACUCGCCGAGUAGGAUCGCAGAUCUGGUCACGGGUUCGCGACUGGACUCGACGAGUCCGGAUAUGGACUCGGCGAGUCUGUGCUGUUUAGCGAAAACCCUAACCGUUCAGGUUUGGGACGUAUAAAAGAGACUUAUUGGCCGUCAUUGUUCAUUUUAGCCUUCUGAGAGGAACCCUAAAUCGAUUGUGUGCUUCUGGGGCAAGGUUAAAGGCCAUUGGUGAUUUUGAAGGAGUUGUUGUGCAAGGAAGAGAAGGGCUUGGCUAAGGGGACAACAAGCGAGCCACGUUCUGAGGAUUGGGGACACAGAGAGUACAUCAUCCAGGUAAGAAUUCGAGUAUACUCUGCUAUGUUGAUGUGUAUAUGGAUUUAGGGUUUAUGGAACCCUUUUGUGACUAGAUUGAAUGUUACCCUAGUUCCCCAAACAAUUGGAACCCUGUAUUGGGACCUUGGAGGUCCAGAAUGUCCCAUGCCUGAGCAUUUCGGGAAUUGAUGGAGGUUUUGGAUUGGAAUCCUUAUGCCUUAGGUCAAAAUGUAAAUUAUUAGUCAUGGGGUGUAUCAUGAGCACCGAAAUGAGGACCUUACGUGAUGGAUCAGUCUAGGAAGGCCAGACCUAUGAAUGGUCGGAGCAGUUCUGACCUUAGAAAGCAGUUUGAGCGGUUGCAUGGCAUGGACUCGCCGAGUCCGAUGAACAGACUCGGCGAGUAGCUUGAAGAUUAACUGGAACUCGUCGAGUUGUUCUUCAGACUCGGCGAGUUGAGUCGGGGUGGCCCCGCGAUUCUUCCAGGAGUAACUCGUCGAGUCAAAAAGGGGAUACUCGACGUGUAGAAAGGGAAUCUUAAGGAAUCGGUGAGUUAAGGGCGAGUGGACUCAGAGUGGUUGAACUCGGCGAGUCUUGGGGUGACUCGGCGAGUUAGGUCGCGGGUUGAGUGAAGUUCUGAGUAUGGGGACUCGGCGAGUCAUAGGGUUGACUCGGCGAGUAGGGUCAGUCAGGGGUUGACUUUGACCUUGUCUUUGACCAAGGAUUGACCAGUGGUUCCAGGGGUAUUUUGGUAAUUGUUGUUUAUUGUUUGAGUUCAGUGCAUUGGUGACUGUCCAGAGGUGGAGAUCGUAUCAGUGAUCGGAGCAGCUUGAGCUAUCUGUUCAGUCGGCAGUUUCGAGGUGAGUUAUCCUCACUAUAUCGCUAGGGUUUAUGGCACCAAGGCCGACCCUUUUAUCGGAUGGAAAUCCGGGUAGUUGGCAUUACAUGUUAUGGGCCGGAAGGCAUUGCUAUGUGGACCGGAAGGUCAUGGCCUGGAAAGGCGUAUGUAUGCAUUUAGUAUGUUGACUGAUUCGUAGGGUAAUGUUAUGCUAGUGACCGGCUAGAUCGGUAUCUUGUUUAGAGUAAUGCUAUGAUAUGUGAUCUGUUGAUCGAUUGUUGUCUUUGAACUGCUAUAUGAUUAUUUGUUCUGUUAUAUAUGCAUUUUAUGCUUAUGGGCCGGAAGGCAAUAUGUUAUGGGCCGGAAGGCAAUAUGUUAUGGGCCGGAAGGCGAUUAUGUUGUGUGAUGGACCGGAAGGUCGGCGUGGGUAGGACCGGAAGGUUUACCCAGCAGGGACGGAAGUCCCCUGAGACACAUGGACCGGAAGGUCAGGGCUUGGAAAGGCGUAUAUGUGGUUGGUAUUUUGGGGGUAUCUCACUAAGCUUUCGGGCUUAUAGAUGUGGUUUUAUGUUUCAGGUUCUCAAGAGUCUGUGGCAAGGCAAAGGCGUGAUCGUACCGUUCCUCGCGUUGGUGUUUUAUGAUAUGAACCUGGGAAAUUACUCUGUUUAAUAAUGUGUUGAAAACCUUUUUGUAACAAUGUUAAUAAAAUGGGUGAUUUUGAAAAGUUUUAAUUGUUUCGAAAUUUUGGAUGUUACAUGGAACUUUGUUACUAGAAACAAUGCCAUGGUAAUAAAGUUUCAAAUUCAAGGUACACUACUUGAACACUUCUCUUGCAUCAAAGUUUCCAACUCACAUGUAGAUUUAAUAAUCAACUAUCAUUAUGUAAAAAUUUCCGCAUUCCCAUACGACCAUUAGUUUUGACCAGGAAUCAUCUCAAUCUAAAACAUGUCACUAUGGUCCUCCCAAACAAUACCAUAGUUCCAACUGUCCACAAGCAACUAGUCUUCAGUAUACCUCAAAAUGUUCUUAAUAGUUGCUUAACAACUCUGGUAACACAAAAAUUCUAAUCCUUUUUUCUCUCAAUGCUAAAGUCAUUUGACAAAAAAAAUAAAUAAAUAAGUGAGCAUAUGUAAUUGAUUAUAUAUCUGAAGCAUAUGUGACUCGAUUCAUUAUGUCUCAUAUAAGGAUUUCAUAUAUGUUCAAUCUCUUGCUAUAAUCUUCCUAUAUAUUUAAUCUCCUACGUUGAACUGUAACAUCCUAUUCCGAAUUGAUUCCUAGUCUGAGGUUGUGGUCCGAAGAUCGGUCAUCAUAAGGAUUAUGGAUUUUCAAAAAAGAAAAAUCUAGGAUCAUUUGGGUGUGGGUGAUGUAUUAGAAGUGAUCUAGGUGUUUGGUUCGUAUUUUGGAGCGUAGGGGUACUUCGGUAAAGUGUCAGUUUGGGCUUUUGUGGAAAAUGGAUUCUUGUUCGAAAGGUAUUAAGAAAGAUUGGAGUUGUUAGAAGUGUAGGGCUUCUCGUUGCCUUUCCGUUGAUAUAAGGAUCAUCGGAAUUGGGCUUCUAACAAAGAAGUUAUGGUCUUUGGAAGUUUUAUGGGUUUCAGGCUUAGCCGAGUACGCAGGGCGUACACAAAGUGUACACGAGGCGUACUAGUGAAAUAGGAAGUACGUUGGGCGUACUUACUAGGAUGGUCGUGAUUGUUCUUCGGAGUACGCUGGGCGUACCAAAAUUACGUUGGGCGUACGCCAGUCAGAUCAGAACCCUAUUUUUGGGUCUUGGAUCCUAUUUGAGCUCCUUAUCUCAUAACCUAACCCUAAUGUCUUCAGCCUCCACCCUCUAAAACCCUAGAAAUCGUCAUAUAUCAUUCAUGGUGACAUUUUGAUCUUAUGGAGUCCAUUUUUGGCAUAUUUUGCCCAUUUUCAAGAAAAUGGAACUUGUUGCAAAGAUGGGAAUCAAGGAGGAGCUUAUGGAUCUGGCUUUUAGGACUCAUUCUCAGCUUGAUGAAGUGACAGCUCGGGAAGCUGGAGGGGCAACAACUAAGGAUGUCAUUCAGGAAACUUCUGCAUUCGAGGUGAGUUUCCUCACCAUACCAAUGGAUCUAAGGCACCAAGGCCGGCCCAUUUCAUGAUAUGUAGUGUCCUAGCCGUAACAUUACUAUUUGGUAUGAUAAUUGGUAUGAGCUAGGAGGUAUGCUUGUAUUGUAUGUGUUAUGUGGUAUCGAAGCCCAUGGGAGAGCCCAUGGAUUUCCUACCGAAGACCAUGGGGGAGCCCAUGACACUUGGAUGUAAGACCAUGUGGAGAGCCCAUGUAUUUCCUAUCAAAGACCAUGGGAGAGCCCAUGGCACUUUGGUGUAAGACCAUGUGGGGAGCCAAUGGCAUCUUGGAGUAAGACCUUGGGGACGAGCCUACGACAUCCCUAUAUGUUGUAUGCAUGGCUUAUAUGGUUUAUGUAGCUUUUAUAGCUAAUAUGGAUUAUGUGAUUAUGUGGACUGUGUGUGGGGUAUGCUCUGGGGAAUUUACUAAUCUUCGUGCUUAUAAUUUUGUUUAUUGUUUCAGGUAUCAUCAGUUUGGAAAGAAAGGGGCCCGACGUGAUCGCAACACACACACCCAUGUUUUCCGCAAUGAAUGAUUUUGGCAUGAACUCUGAUAAAUGUUUUAACUAACGAUGUUUUGGAAUGUUUGGAAUAAAUGUUAUGUAUGUUUUGGAUAUAUUAAAAAUGAAUUUUUUACCCUUGAUUUUUGGGUCGUUACAAGUUGGUAUUAGAGCCUUGGUUUUAGAGAUUCAAACAUAUUUUCGGGUGUGUCUGAACUCAAAUUGAGGAUCUGUAAAGUUUUUAAAGAAAAAAUGUUUUCAAGGAAAAGUUUUCUAAGAAAAGAAAGGGUGUGGUGCAUGCAAUCAGAUGAGCUCAAGUAAGUUUCCCAAAAUACCAAUAUAUGUUAUCUGUUAUGACUUGAUGUAUGGAUCUGUGAAUCGCCUGCUAGUUAGGGUUAGGAGAGAUGCCAUUAUAUGUUGUAUGAGCUGGUAGACUUGCAUGCUAGCGAUGUGUAGUUAGCAAGACAUUGGCCAGAUAUGUGAUGCUUGUAGCCUUGGAGAUAUUGAAUGCCAUGCUAGAAUGAUAAUUAUUAUUGGUACUAGUAACUGCUACGUGUAUGCUUUUAAAAUUAUAUACGGUUAGGAUCUUAUAGGCUUUGAAUGAUUGACUUGGCCUUAUUUCGUGUUCCUUGUCUGGUUGUGGUCCUAGGGUAGGGUCUAUUAUUCGAUAGUCUAUUAGAUCUUGUUCUGUGUAUAAUUUGCAUGCAUAAGGCAGCCGACAGUGAGGGUGGAUGUGGGCAUCAUGGAUUGUGGUAUGUGGGUCGAAUGUUCUAUGAUAGUUUGUAGGUCGGAGAUUUCCCUAGGAUGAGCCUAGGAUGAGAUUAGUGACAGGAGUUGCCUGAUUGUGAAUUGUAUGUAUAGAUAGAAUUGUUUGAUUGGAAUAUGUUGGUUAGUUUUCUGUUGUUUGAAUGUUGCUUGCUUUGUGCUUUAUGGGACUUCUAGCAAUGUGAGCUAGCUACUAAGUGAAUAUGCUAGGUCACAUGUGGCACAUGCUCGAUAAUCUCAUAGUGAUGGAUUUGGCCCUAUUGCGCAUCUCUUGUUUGAAUCUAACCGUUCUAGGAUUGAGUCUGUUACUCGAAGGAUUAUCUGAUCUCUGUUACAUGUGGCUAUAUUCAUAAGGUAGCUAGUUGACAUUACUGGGAAUCUUUCAGCAGCUGAGGACUUGGUGGGUUAGGAACCUAGGGAGAGCCUAGGAGGUGCUUCGGUAUAUAUUGUGUUGCUGUUUAGCGGAUAUUUGGUGCAUCAGUGGAGUAGGUGACUUAGAGGAUUCGGGAGGAUUGCAGAGGAAAGUAUGAAUAGGUGUGAAAGGUAGUAUUGGACCCGUACUACUGAAAGCACAGGAUCCAUACUCGAAUUAGUGAGAAUCUUGGAGAAUCUAAUAAGCUUAUGGGAAGGAGAAUUCUUGGUUAUGCUUCGACCAUGGGAAUAGCUGCUAUGUAGAAUGAGGAUGCGCACGUAGGGGGAAGACCAGGAUUGGACCCUGCUCCGGUGGUGAGCCAGUUAGUUGAAGGACUGGGAUUUUGAGUUCGCCUUGGAUCUCUUGUAUCAGGCAGCAAGGAUUGAUUGUGCGAUCUAUUGAACUUUGGGGAUUAGAGACUAUGUCUUUGGGGUAGUUUGUAGCUCGAUUUAGGGCAGAUAUUGUUUCAGCUACUGCAGUUCAGCCAUGGACGACUGAGCUGGUGAGUGUGCCAGGGUGCGAGACCCUGAAUGAUAUGAUUUCUAGAUCUCGAGAGCAGGGACUGAUUUGGAGCACAUUUUGAAGAGGGGACCAUAUGAGGUGUAUAUAUUUAAGGGUCCCGGAAGAGACCCAAGAUUUUGAAUCAACUUUCGAGAGGCCGACAGGGCCGGAUACAGUGCAGUACAAGCGGGAAAUCGUACGAUGGAGUUACCUCUCCAGGUCUAUGGGAUGCUACAAGCGUAGCCGGCUUUAUCGCAUCAGCAGGUGAAAUUAUGAGUGGGUACUCGAUUUAGGGUGUGUCGGAUCCGAUGGAUCGGCGGUGAGGUUUUGCACCGUUGGGAUGAGGCAAGAGAGUUGUGAGAAUGUGGGGUAGCCCGUAGCAUUUGCUUAUCCUUAGGCAGCGGUAAGAUGGUGGUAAAUUUGUAUUUUCCUUCAGAAUUAUUUGGUGGAAGGCAGCCUUAAAGAGGGUGAUUAGAUCAUCCAAUUGGUUAAGAAUACAAGAGUAUUCUUCAGGAUUUCCAAAGCUGAGUGGUCAUUGUGUUGGGGAAACUAUGGGGCGCUUGUGUUUUCGGCACAUGAUUUGGGCGGGUCAUGCUUAUUGAUGAAAAUGGAUCGAAGAUCUAGGGCUGCAAACGAGCCGAGNNNNNNNNNNNNNNNNNNNNNNNNNNNNNNNNNNNNNNNNNNNNNNNNNNNNNNNNNNNNNNNNNNNNNNNNNNNNNNNNNNNNNNNNNNNNNNNNNNNNNNNNNNNNNNNNNNNNNNNNNNNNNNNNNNNNNNNNNNNNNNNNNNNNNNNNNNNNNNNNNNNNNNNNNNNNNNNNNNNNNNNNNNNNNNNNNNNNNNNNNNNNNNNNNNNNNNNNNNNNNNNNNNNNNNNNNNNNNNNNNNNNNNNNNNNNNNNNNNNNNNNNNNNNNNNNNNNNNNNNNNNNNNNGCUCGUUUAAUAAACAAGCCUAAUAUUAAACUCGAGCUCGGCUCGGGCUCAUUCAAAAUCGAUCUUGAGUCGAGCUUUUAACGAUUCGAUCUCGAGUAGCUUGGCUUGUUUGCACCCCUACGAAGAUCCGUAUGGAAUAAGAGGUGAAAGAGCAUCUUCGAGUCCAAGUAAGGGAGAAUCAAGUGGCUGUUUAGGCUUAGGUUGUGAUGAUGGGAGUUCAGGAUACUCCCAAUCGCCGGUUGACAUCACCUUGAUUACGCAUAGUGAGCAGUGGGAAUCCAUAGGUGCGACCCGAACUCCUAAUGGGAUACAGGAUUCGACUCGAGAGGUGUGACGAUGUGAUAGUGGAGUGUGGAAGGUCCAUGAGUGGUAAGCAUGAUUGGAGGGAAGUAGUGCUAGGAUGUGAUAGGUUCAUAGCAUUCAUUGGUCCGAAUCAGACUAUUUAUGUGAUGGUCAUAGGUACGAAAGGAAAGUAGCAUGUGCUUUGGGCACGCCGGUCAGGGUCGUUAGGGAAUUAUUCUUUAUUUUGGGAUUGAGGAUCUUCGGUGUCCGUGGGCGAGCUUGGGUGAUUAUGGAAAUUCGGGAUAGAACCAGUAGACACUGUGGGGUCAAGGGUUUGGAUCAUGAGUUGCAGUGGAUGAGUAGUGUGUGUCCAAGUAGGGCUACGAUAGGGUAGCCUCGAUAUUUGAUCUCUUGGGAACCUAGUGGUUGGACCAGAUUCGAGACUGUUAGUCUCGGGGAUUGGCUUAAGGGUAGUUAUUUAUCGGUCAAGUAAGGGACGUUGGGAAGUUGUGGUGCAUUAUGCAAAUGUAGAUUCAGGGAUCUUGGGGUAGGAGCAGAGUAUCGAUUUGGUUUUGGCUAAAGAUCUCGAAUCAGAGUUUGUGCGUGUCCAGUGUGAGUUUUUCAUCCCAGUAGAAUAAGGAUUAAGAUAUUUAUGCGUUGAGGGCAUCAAUCGCAGGGUUCGAGAGUAAUGAAUGGGUUGGUUUGAUGGUAGUAUAAGCUGUUGUGAUGUGUCUUGGGUGGCUCUAUCCGUAAUAGAUCCACGACAUGUUUGAAUCAAGAAACAGAUCUAUCAAAGGAAACCGAGUAUGAUGUAAGGCUACAGUUGUCCUGGUUGCAUUCACCUUCUUGCGUCAGAUUCAGUGGCGACAGGUUGUCAACCUAUCAUGAUCGGAUGGAUCACAUGGAUUGAAGGAGCCAAGAGCGGCGGUAUGGAUAUGGCAGUUAUUGUUAGACGGUGUACCCUUCAGAGGUCGCAUGGGACUGCUGCGUGUGUUUUUGGCUCAACAAUCGGGUAAGUGUCCUAUGUUUCGGACAGUUAGCAGACAAGUUAGGACCAGGGAGGUCCCAUAUUUUUUUUUCCAGGAAAGCAGCUAUGUGACAGCAAGAGGGGUUGGAGCGACUUCAGUAAUUUGGGGUCUAUGUGUGGAAUUGCUUGUUUUCGGUAGCCGCAGUUGACCAGUGAUUUUGUUCUUUUGGAAGCCUCAAGGUAUUACUGGUGAAAAGUAUUAUGUUUAGGCUGGUUUUCUUAUGCAAUAAAUUCAAUGAUGGUUCGUGCGGGUGGUUGUCGGGAAGCUAGGUCAAUUUGAAGUUUCGAGUUUCGGAAGGAUAGAGGUGGAUUUAUUCUAGAAGGUUUCAAGAUUCGUUCCUUUUCGGGUUGGUAAGUCCUUUUAGGGUUGGUAUCAGGUUGCAUUGGGAUAUAUUUAGUUAUUCCAAAUUGUGGAGGUAUGGACCAGAUUGUUGGAUGUGCUGGGAAGGUAAGGAUGGAUUUUGAGGAAGAAAUCUAAUUCAAGUAGGGGAGAAUUGUAACAUCCUGUUCUGAAUUGAUUCCUAGUCUGAGGCUGUGGUUCAAAGAUCGGUCAUCAUAAGGAUUAUGGCUUUUCAAAAAGGUAAGAUCUAGGAUCAUUUGGGUGCAGGUGAUGUAUUAGAAGUGAUCCGGGUGUUCGAUUCGUAUUUUGGAGCGUAGGGGUAUUUCGGUAAAGUGUCAGUUCGGGAUUUUGUGGAAAGUGGAUUCUUGUUCGGAAGGUCUUAAGAAAUAUUUGAGUUAUUAGAAGUGUAGGGCUUCUCGUUACCUUUCCGUUGAUAUAAGGAUCGUCGAAGUCGGGCUUAUAACGAAGAAGUUAUGGUCUUCGGAAGUGUUGUGGGUUUCAGGAUUAGCCGAGUACGCGGGGUGUACACAAAGUGUACACAGGGCGUACUCGUGAAAAAGUAAGUACACUGGGUGUACUGACUAGGAUGGUCGCGAAUGUUCUUCGGAGUAUGUUGGGCGUACCAAAAUUACAUUUGGCGUACGCCAGUCGAAUCAGAACCCUAUUUUAGGUAUCAGGUUGCAUUGGGACGGAUUUAGUUAUUCCAAAUUGUGGAAGUAUGGACCAGAUUGUUGGAUGUGCUAGGAAGGUAAGAACGGAUUUCGAGGACGAAAUCUAAUUCAAGUGGGGGAGAGUUGUACCAUCUUGUUCGAUUUGUUCCCAUUUUGAAUUGGUGAUCAAAGGAUUAAGUUAUAUCAAGAUACGGAUACCUUGGGGGUUGAGUUUUGGACCGAGUCGGANAUGUUGGGCGUACCAAAAUUACAUUUGGCGUACGCCAGUCGAAUCAGAACCCUAUUUUAGGUAUCAGGUUGCAUUGGGACGGAUUUAGUUAUUCCAAAUUGUGGAAGUAUGGACCAGAUUGUUGGAUGUGCUAGGAAGGUAAGAACGGAUUUCGAGGACGAAAUCUAAUUCAAGUGGGGGAGAAUUGUAACAUCCUGUUCUGAAUUGAUUCCUAGUCUGAGGCUGUGGUCAGAAGAUCGGUCGUCAUAAGGAUUAUGGAUUUUCAAAAAGGUAAGAUCUAGGAUCAUUUGGGUGCAGGUGAUGUAUUAGAAGUGAUCCGGGUGUUCGGUUCGUAUUUUGGAGCGUAGGGGUAUUUCGGUAAAGUGUCAGUUUGGGAUUUUGUGAAAAAUGGAUUCUUGUUUGGAAGGUCUUAAGAAAGAUUUGAGUUUUUAGAAGUGUAGGGCUUCUCGUUACCUUUCCGUUGAUAUAAGGAUCGCCAAAAUCGGGCUUAUAACGAAGAAGUUAUGGUCUUCGGAAGUUUUAUGGGUUUUCGGCUUAGCCAAGUACGCGGGGUGUACACAAAGUGUACACGGGGAAUACUAGUGAAAAAGGAAGUACGAUGGGCGUACUGACUAGGAUGGUUGCGAAUGUUUUUCGGAGUACGCUGGGCGUACCAGAAUUACAUUAGGCAUACGCCAGUCGGAUCAGAACCCUAUUUUAGGGUCUUGGAACCUAUUUAAGCUCCUUAUCUCAUAACCUAACCCUAAUAUCUUCAGCCUCCACCCUCUAAAACCCUAGAAAUCGUCAUAUAUCAUUCAUGGUGAGAUUUUGAGCUUAUGGAGUCCAUUUUUGGGAUAUUUGGCCGAUUUUCAAGAAGAUGGAACUUGUUGCAAAGAUAGGAAUCAAGGAGGAGCUUAUAGAUCUGGAUUUUAGGACACAUUAUCAGCUUGAUGAAGUCACAGCUCGGGAAGCUGGAGGGGUAGUAGCUAAGGAUGUCAUUCGGGAAGCUUCUACAUUCAAGGUGAGUUUCCUCACCAUACAAAUGGUUCUAUGGCACCAAGGUCGGCCCAUUUCAUGAUAUGUAUUGUCCUAGCCGUAACGUUGCUAUUUGGUAUGAUAGUUGGUAUAAGCUAGGAGGUAUGUUUGUAUUAUAUGUGUUAUGUGGUAUUGAAGCCCACGGGAGACCCCAUGGCAUUUGGAUGUAAGACCAAGUGGAGAGCCCAUGGCUUUUCUACCGAAGACAAUGGGGGAGCCCAUGAUACUUGGAUGUAAGACCAUGUGGAGAGCCUAUGGCUUUCCUAUCAAUGACCUUGGGAGAGCCCAUGGCACUUAUAUGGUUUAUGUAGCUUUUAUAGCUGAUAUGGAUUAUGUGAUUAUGUGCAUUGUGUGUGGGGUAUGCUCUGGGGAACUCACUAAGCUUCGUGCUUACAGUUUUGUUUAUUGUUUCAGGUAUCAUCAGUUUGGAAAGAAAGGGGUCUGGCUUGAUCGCAAUGCACACACCCAUGUGUUCCGCAUUGAAUGAUUUUGGGAUGAACUCUGAUAAAUGUUUUAACUAACGAUGUUUUGGAAUGUUUGGAAUAAAUGUUAUCUAUUUUUUGGAUAUAUUAAAAAUUAAAUUUUUACCCUUGAUUUUUGGGUCGUUACAAGUACCAUUUCAACACGAUAUUCACAUACGUCUAUGACUAAGUUCCAUUAAACUAUAUGAUCUAAACCUUUAAAUUUGAAACAAAGUAUGAGUGCCCUCUCCCUUAAGUCUAUCAUAGUGAAACAAUUUCCAAACUUUGCAACUUGCAAAUUGAAAACUUUUGCUCCUUACAAACAAUAUCGUUAACUAGCAUAACAAUUAUGCUCCCACUAGCUUUGACAUGUACCCAAAAAUCAACCGGACUUCUAGAAAUCAAUACUCUUGACUUUCUUACUGAAGUGUAGAUUUCUGUUAUGCGAUGCUUCGAUAAGUCUCCAACUAGACUUCUUAAGUGUAUACACCUUCAUUAUAUAGCUUAUGUGGGUGUUUAAACCCUUAUAAAACUUAUAGAUAUAUGUGUUGAAAGUUCAAACAAUUCCUUGCCAUUCCUCUCUAUUUAAAAUAUGAAGAGGGAUGUCAUAAUCAUAUUGCGAAUUUGAGAAUGAAAGUAACACAACCAACAUCCAUACUGAUCUUUAUCAGAUCUUUUAAAAUCUACUAGCAAAAAUAUUUCCUCACAAUCAUUUUCAUGAAUUAGAGUGAAACCUUUUCCUACUAGAUUUUAUGGUGUAUACGUUCCCAUCCAUAUGAAUCUAUCAUUUUCAACCUACAAUCACAAUACAAGGUUUAGGAAAAAAUGAAAUUCAAAUUUAGCUUUCCUUCAUGAACUGAAUUUUGUAAUUCCAAAUUUCUUGCCAUCUGGUAGCACAAAGGCCUACUAGUGCUUCUGUGUUGUAAGCAGCUCACCCAUACUGAUCAAUGUAUUUUCACUGACCAACGCACUAUGCUUUUAUAGUUAAAUGAAAAACAUAUAACUCAUAAGAAUUUCCAACUAAACUUGAAGUGCACAAAAAUAAGAAUGUGUUAAUCAAACACGACUAGUCAUCAACCUCAGGUCGUGUGCUAGUGAUAACUAAAAGGCUUAUUGUCGAUUGACUCCUGAAAUUCUAAAGAUCAAUAAGACUCCCACUGACUUCUUGACAUAAGAGUUUUUUUCUCAAGGUAAAUUCCUUGACGAGCUAAAACAAAUAUUCAAAAGUUCAUGUGGAUUCCUGACAGGAAAACACUUCAUAGAAUUGGUCUUAGUUUAUCUUUUGUUUUAACGAAAACAUUACAACUCCAAUUCAAAAUAUGCUAGAGUAAGAAAGCAUUAUCACUCCAAAUUUCACGAGGUGUUAUAAACCUUUUUAGUUUGAAAUGAGUUUCAAGAUACAAUUUUUAGUAACUAGAGCAUGGCUCUAAAACUUGAUUGGAAACGAAAUAUGACUCACCUCUUGAUUGAACCAUUCCAACAAUAUUUAAUUUGUCUUCUUAGUCAUACAAUUGUACUAAUAUGUUCUUCGAGGAUCAAGUAUGAUAUAGUUCCACGAUCAUUAAGAUGAUCACAAAACAUGAUACUAAAGUACUAUCCUUUCCUUUCAGAUUGGAGAGUCUUUUAUCUUUCUACCUAAUUGAUUCUUCUUAUUCAUUCUUCCACUCUUUGAAUCUUUUCAAAGUAUUAGAAUUAUGUUUAAUCUUAUAAACACAACCAUAUUUGAUGAAACAUCAGAAAAUCAUGACGAAUAGAGUUAUCAUCCUUUUUGGUGGAUCUAAAUAGUCCAUAUCAACAUGUACUAGAUCCAUUAGUCCUUCACUUGACUCACAUCUUACAACGCAUAAAAUAAAAACUAUGUUUCUAGAUAUCUCAUAAGACUAAUAACAAUCUAUUAAAUUAUCCUAACUCCUAAAUAGUAGCUCCAAAUUAUGAUCGUCGAACUAUGUGAAGUCCAACUCACUCUACAUAAGCUUCCUUAUUUCUUUUAGAUCCUGCAAUAACAUCAAAAUGUGAUCAUCACAUCGCGUAUAAAGAGGCUAUGAAUAGGGCCUUGUUAAAAUAAUGGAGUUAGAUAAUUGAUGUACCUGAAGUAGAGUCACACAACUUGACUUCACUAUCUUUGAGAUCUUUCAGGUACUUUGGGAAACUUCACAACCAAUGUCCCUUCAAAUGAAAAUAGAAACAUAUGGACUCUUUGGGGUUAACUGAUGGAACUAUCUCAGAACUAGUUUUUCUCUUUACCAUACGAUCAAAUUGUUUGACUUUGGUUGAACCCUUUCCAUUAGGAAGAGAAAUAUGUUCUGGACCACCAUUGUCAUCAUUGUUAAUUUCCAUGGAAACUUUGGAAUCAGACCCUUUAAGCACCUCUGCUUCAAAUGUGCUCUUAAGCAUUUCUACUUUAGCAAAAAUCAACAUUUGGGUCAAAUCAGUUAGGGUCACGUCGAUCUUCAACAUAUGAAUGUUCUCAAUGAAUUGGUCGUAUGACUUUAGAAACGAAAGAAGAACCAAAUCAAUGGCUUGCUCCCUUGGGAAAACGACACCCAUUCUAUCCAACUUGUCAAUGUACGACUUCGUUUUCAGAACAUGCGCACACACAUAAUUUUCAUCUUGAUGUUUACAUCCCAAUAGUGCUUAAUUAGUUUUUUUAUCUUUUAACUCAAGAAAAAUGCGAUGUUAGGAGAGUCACCGGAGGAGGUGGUGGAAGAGUUGAAAAAGCAUGAUGUCCAGUUUCACCGUUUCCCGAAGAUGAGAAAACAUUUUCACCUUGAUUAGAAUGUGGAAGAUCAUCUUCUAAAGGAAGAGGAAAACCAUUUCCAAAAGAACGAGGAAGACCAUUUCUAUCUUCAUAAGACAUCUAAAAUUAGGAGAAAGGAGAAUUCUAGUUAGUUGAUUUUAGUCCCUAAUUAUUAACCCAUAAAUUUAAAUUAAGGCUAGGAUCCACAUUUUCGAUUUGAACUUUGAAGAAGGAUGCCAUAAUCAAAUUCGAAUCUAUUUUAGGUAGGUAAGAAUUUUACCAAUUCUAGUCUUAUGAAACUCCUAGAUCUUUUGAGAUUCAUUGAUUCUUAUCAAUGACAUGUUUAAUCUCAGAUUGUGUUCUUACUUUUGUGACUGGGAUGUUGAGGAUCACAAACGAGAUGUGAUUAACUAUGCAAACCCACUUGACAACCUUAUUGGCAUUUACCAUCUUACAUUGAUGUGCCGGUUAACCUCACACGCACCAUCAAAUUUGAUAAUUUUCAAGAUGUCCAUCAUAUCUAUUUAUAGUCCCUAUUAACGUGUCAGUUAACUACACACGCUCCACUAACGACAUAUAAAGCAUGCUGUACGUUUUUCAUGGAUUAGCAUACCUUUCAUAUUUUUCCUAAAGUAACUAAGAGUGAGAUUUUAUAAAAGGUUUAGUUAAUUAUAUAGCAUUAUACUUAUUAAUGAGAUUAUGUCCUAUCAAAUCCGUUUGACUAACGACCAUCCACCAUACAAGAGAGCGGCGGGUAAGAAUGGAUACCGAAUGACGGUCAUUUUAUAGGUCGAUUCCUUAAAAUCUCCUUAUAAUAUGACAUCGUGAAUAAGGCGUACUAGCGAUUUGACUAACUUAUUCUUAUACACACACAUGCACACACACACACACACACACACACACACACAUAUAUAUAUAUAUAUAUAUAUAUAACAAUUAAUCAUAUUUAUAGUAUAAGGUGUAUUUUAUACAUUUUAGAACACUAGGUAUUCGACAUUAUUUAUUAAAAUUAAUUAAUAUCUAAAUUAAUCAUUUACACAUUUAAAAAAUUUAUGAUAUUAAUAAUUAAAAUAAUUAAUCAAGUCAAAGAUUUAUCUCCUAAUUUUUAGGCUAUUAUUUAAUUAUCAAAUAUGUAGGCAAAUUCAGAUGUGGCAGAUAUAAAACAAAUAAUUACCAAAUAAUAAGCAUGCAAAACAGAUUAGGCAGAUAAACUCAAAAAAUCAAAAUUUUCAAAUCUCACGUCGUAAGCAUCAAUUCCCACAUCGUGAGAUGCAAAAAACCAAAAAAUUUGUUUGUUCAAUUCACUAAUGUGCAAUUAAAUGAAAGAUAGCCAUAGGCUCUGAUACCACUGAUGGAAAACAUAGGUUACAGCAACAUUGCAUUAAACGGAAAAACAUUUAAUAGUUAAAUGAUUAUGGCACAUGUAACCUAAAGGGAUCUAUGUCUUUCACAUAUAGACAACAUACUAUGAAUUAUCAAUCUAAAAAAUUCUAAUGAAAUCAAAAUUCGUAAAGGAAGAUUACAUACCUUUUAAUUUGUUAUAGUAAACAAAUGUAAACCAUUCUUCAAAGCUUUUCGAAGCAAGCACCAUAAAUCUCGUGCCUCUGAUGGUUCACACCCAAUCCUAGUAACUAUGAGACUUGAAGAGAUAAGAGAAGGAUGAUAGAAUUUUCGGCUAUCUCCAGUGAAAUAGGAGUGGCCAAAAAUCCAACCAAGGGUGCCUUUUAUAGUGCAACUUGGAAACCCUAGAUAACCCUUAAAUGAAUAAAAUAAUAUUAAUUCAAAUUGGUAAUUAGCCAACUUCUUAUUUAUCUGCAAGGAAUAUUCCAAAUGCCCUGGAAUACCCUAAAACUGUCCACCCCUUCCAAUGAAGAUUCUUGAACCUCUCUUGUUCAACUUUUGAACAAUUGUACUUUAACCCUUACACUUUUAAUUAGUCCAAUUAAUCCUAAAUUUAACUCUAAUUAAUUCUUAGUUAAAUAUUAUUAUUUCUAAUUAAUAUUUUAUUUUCAUAACAUAUUAAUAAAUUCAUUUAUUUCUAUUUAUUAAUAAUAUAAUAAAUCAAUAAAUCAAUCUCUCUCUCUAAAAGUUAUCAUAUUUAGUUACUAGGUUUGAGGGCAACCCAAAACAACUUUGCAAAUAAUUCAAGUAUAUACUAAUUCAGUUAUUUGCUUAGACACCUAAUCCAACAGAAACAAUAUAAUAGAGUUCUUCAGAACUAACUUAGAUAUAAUUUGUGAGGGAUUAAGAGUAAUGAAUCCUUGUGGGAUUUAAUAUAAUUAAAAUUUUUAAGGAUCAAAGAGGGAUCAAAGGAAAAGAGAUUAAGUCUGGAUGAGUGCACUCGGUAAUGAUAGGGGAUGUCAUUCCCCCAUAUGAUAAAUGAAGUUAUCAUAUGAGAUUGAACCGUUGGGUCUGAUAAGAAUAAAAUGCUAAGGUAUGAGAUGUUGAGAACAGAGAUGUAAGUGUAACAAGAGUAAGAAAAUGCAUGCUAAGUGUAAGAAUAUGAGAAAAGCAUGCAUAAAGUAUGAUAGGAACAAAUAGAUGAGAUAAUAUUAGAGUAAGGGACAAGAAAAAAGAUGAUGUGAGAAGAACAUAGGAGAGAUAAAUGUGGAGAAUAAUAAAGCAAGAGAAGGAUGGGGUUUAUAAUUUUAUUUUAAACCUGAAGAGAAAAUAAUGAUAGAAUAUGUAAAGAGAGAAAAAUAAAGAAGAAGAAUAUGAUUACAUGAAAACAGAUAGAAUAUAAAUCACCAGCCUUGUGAUCUGAUGUUGUAGAUAUUUUACAUGAUUUGCAUGUUCAGGUGUUAGCCGUUAUACGAGAGGAUGUAGAAGCAUAGGAACGCGAAAUAGAAGUGGAUUAUUAUUUUAGUUAUAUUUACUCGUUGCUUAAAUUUAUGUUUAUAAUUUUAUUUUAAACCUGAAUAUUUCAUGAGGUUUAAAGUAUAUAACAAAUUAGAAUUCCGAAUUUGUUUACUAAAUUCUGAUAAUCCCUAGGAUGUCUAGUGAGAAAAUUACGGAUUGUUACAGGAUAUCGGAAGGGAUGUUUGUUGCCUACCAUCGAACAGACUUGUGCAUCUGCCUGUGAAGCAUUGUCUCUCUAUUUGGGGUGAGUAUGCUAGUCAACCUCCCUAAAAAAUGGACAUUAUAACUUAUGGUAUUUUUACAAGUAAAUAAUAAUUCAAGAUUAUAUAGUAUUUUACCUCAAAUGAGAUUGCAUUGAACAAAAAUACAUUGAAUGUACUCACAAAUUACCUCAAUAACCGUUAUUAUAGGUACAUUGCGUUCAUUAACCGAUAACAGCAGGUGGAAUUCCGGAAUAUCAAUGUUGAGUAUCUUGCAACAGAUGUUAGGGAAAUAAGGUAUUCCCUAUUUCGCAUUACCAAUAUUGGGAAGUGUUAGUUUAUAGUAUGAUUUCAUAUUUUGAAUACUAUAGGGAGUUUAUGUAACAUUAUUGUGUGUGUGUAUACAUAUAUAUAUAUAUAUAUAUAUAUAUAUAUAUAUAUAUGUGUGUGUGUGUGUGUGUGUGUGUGUGUGUAUACAUGCAAUACAAUACCCUAAUCAAUACGGAUUUUUACCACAUUUAAGAUUUCUUUUAGUCUCUUUAAUGCGUUCCUUCUCAGUAUUUGUGCUUGUGAGUUCUUUUUUCGUAGCUGGUCCUCCUUGCUCGAUUAACUUGCAUGUUACACACGAUCAACCACUGUGAUUGACUCCCUCGAUCGUUUUGAUUUCUUUUCCUUUUCCUAGUUGUGUUAAUUCUUGUCUAACAUGUCUACUACACCCAACUUGUCAUCUACCAUCGUUCCAUCCACACUGAGUCUGGUUUGUUUUCUUACUAAUGUCUACAACCAAUUUAGUUUCAAACUAAAUGAUGAUGGUUCUCGAUACAAAUUUUGGCGUCAAAUUUUUUUAGACAUGUGUUGAGGAACGAUGAGUUAUGAUCAUAUAUCAAGUAAGUCAACCCUGAUCAGUGAUGAUGAUGAAUGGUAUUUCGUUGAUGUGCGUAUAAAGUCUUAGUUUUAUAUCACUUGUGAUGUUAAUACGUAGAGUCCUAGUAGUAUGAUAGUUUCUGGUGGUCUUCUUUCCUAAUUCACAAACAAGAUGACAUGUUGAAAAUAUAGAGAAAUGAUAGGCUAGAAAGUGAUACCGAGGGAUGGACCCCGAUAUUGCUCUUUGAUGCCUAAAUUGUAACACCCACGUAUUCGGGCUAGAUGAUUAAGAUAUAAAAAAUGAUAAAAAUGAUUUUUAGAGAAUAUUAUUUAGGAUAAUUAAUAUUAACCAAAGCUAUAGUAUAUGUGACAAGGAUUAUGUACAUGUAAAGAACUCUGAAAUCCAACUUAGUAUGAAGAAGUUAUCAUUCUUCGAAGUUUCAAAAUCAAACCGAUACGAAACUGCGUAUCAUAUAAAGAGAAAUUGUGAUUAAUUACUUUUUAGCUCAAGUGAACUAAACAGAAGUCGUAGUAGGCGUAAAACCAAUAACAUGCAUAUAGAGAAUGUCCAAAUAUGAAUUCGUGAGAGGAGGUUAUGAUUUUUCAAAGUUUCAACGCAUGUGUUUUAGCACAGAAAUCAAAUUUUAGAUCUGUUGAUUUUUAGCUGAAGAAAUCCAAACGUGAAUUGAUGAUCUCGUGAUAAGGAGUCCAUCAAUAUAAAGAUAGUCAAAAACGGAGUUUGUAUGUAAAAGUUAUGAAUUUUACACGGUCGUUAAUAGUGUAAUCUUCAUAGACUGUUAAACAUAAGAUCGGAUGAGCAUUAGCCGACUGGAUCUAAAUGAAAGUUGUAGUACUCAGAAAUACCUAUGCAUGGAUCUAGAGAAUGUCGAAGAUAGAGUUUGUAUGGAUGAGAUAUGAAUUUUUGAAGUUUCUAGUCGUGCCUACCCCCUGCCACACUACUCCAGCCAAAAUCAAACACAUGUAAGCAUCUAAGAGGUCCGACCAGGCUAGAGUACGACAUGCAUCUGGUCUAGGCGCGAUGCGUUCUCAUAUUUUUAUGCUAAAUAGAGCUUCAUCCCUUCAUUCGAUCUCGACAUCUCCUCAGCUCAUUCUCUUGAGUUUUCUCGGUUUUUGUAAAAAAUUCCUUUUGUUUUUAAUAUUUUGGCAAAGCGAUGAGGUCCCUGAGAGCCUGACAUCUAGUAGGUAGCAGGGCGGAGUUCUGCCAGUGUAGUUUUCAGACUUUUGUCUAGGAAAUCUUUGUAAGUUAAAUUACACUCAACUUUAUCUUAGUGUAUUUUAUAUUUAUAUUCACAAUCGUUAUUAUGAAUCUAUAAAUAAUAUUUAUUAGUGAUUCCAAACCGUUAUACUGACCGAUCUACUUAUGGGGAUGAUGUCUAGGUUGGAUUUAGUGAGGUGUUUAAAGUGAGAUUUCCAAACAGUAUACUCUGUAUACCAAAAAAACCCUACCUCCGAUAUGAUCCUACCUGGUUGUUCCUUACUUGAUAGAUAUUGAUGUAGACAUUAGGAUUAGUGAGAAAUCUAUACUAUCAUUAUUCGCCAGGAAUGUAACAGUAAGACUUGGUAAUAUGAAUCUAGGUCGCGUCAGAGGAAAAGCUAAAGUACCAAGGAGAAGUUCUACCUAAAUUCUGAGGCAUCCACGUUUAUCAAGUGAGUGGAUAGUUAUUUUCAUCUUACACAUAGAUAUGAAGUAUAUAGAUAAUUAAGUGCUAUAUGUGGUUAUGUACAAAGAUGUUAUGUGUUAGAUGAAAUAUUAUAAAGAUAGAUUUUAUAUGAUAUAAAUCAUAUAUGUAUAAAUAUAAUGCAUGGGGUAACGAAGGGUAAUGAAAGAUGCCAUAGUAUGAUGAAAGGUAAGAUUCAAUAGUAUGAUGUAAGAUGUAGCAACGAUAUGAUGCCAUGACUUUAGAAAUGGUACUAGUUUACUAACGAUGUAGUCAUCUAACAUAAUAUAGGUGACGACUAUCGGAUUAUUUAAUAAUGGUCCCAUGGAACACAGACAAGUUUAUAACCUAUAGGUGAUGCACUUUGUACCCAUGUGAUGUACUCUUUACUACCAACUGACAUGUAUUGCGAAGAAAUCCAUGUAACAAUAUUGUCAGCAACGAUGACUAUGAUGAAGGACCCUUAGGAUAGAUUCUUAAGGAAGAAUAAAGAAGAAAAUAGGGAUUAGUAGUCAUGUUAAUUGCUUGAUAACCAAGAAUAUUAAGUACAUUCAUGUGAGUUGAAAAUCCUAUGUACUCACCUGGUUUCCCAACCUGAACCACUCAACUUCUUUGUAUCACAGAUAGCAGUACAAAGGUACGCUAAUUAUGAGAGAUUCGAGCAGAUGUAGACUGAUAGUCUAAGAUAUUGUAAGGCCUAUUUAUGAUUAUGUUUUGUAUCAUUUAUGACAUCCGAAGCUUUUGUAAAUCAAUGAAAAAAAUUCUUUGGAAAUACUUUACAGGACCGAAUUCUGCAUUUAUAAAUAAACUAUGUUUUAAAUAAGCAUAAAUAAAAGUUUAAAAAUGUUCGUAAAAAUGGUAUGUCACAAUUGGUAUCAGAGCAUUAGUUUAAGUGAACAACGAAUUUUAGAGGAUUUAUACAAUUAAAUGUAGAAACUAAGCGAUGAUCGUGAGAUGUGUGACUAUUAUAUUUUUGGUAAUACACUUGAGUUAACAUAAGCACUAGCUUACCUUAGGAUAAAAUGCAUAAUUUUCUUUUAUAUGCUAAAUGGUUUGUAUUAUAGCAUGCCUUAGGUUGCCUAUCUAAAUUGCUAUUAUUAGGUUUAAGGUCUGUUGACGACCUAGAAAUAGGAAAUUUUGUGUAUGCGGGUUUCUAAAUGUUUAAUUACGGUAUUAGAACUGACAUAUAACUUUUCAGAGUGAUAAGGAGAACUAUGCGUUUGUCACACCCCAAAACCAAGAACGGCGGAAACGUUCAGGGGUGGAGGACGUCAUGUGAAGUAUCAUACAAUGUAAAGUAGUAAACAAGGAACAACAUCAUCCAUUGCAUUAAAAUUAAAGUUUUAAUACAUGUGUGUUCUUUCAUCGUAAUAAGACACCAAAAUAUGUAAUCAAAAUAAAAGACGAGUCUUGUCUGUGCUUCGUCUUCUCAAAACUUGGUCAUUGUACCUGUCUACUGGUGACCUGAGAAUACAAGUUAUUUUGAAAGAGUAGAUCAGCAUAAAGCUGGUGACUUCAUAAGUAUUUAAGUGUCAUUACUCUGUUUUGGAAAGCUGUUAUGAAUGUCAUGUAAAUAUUUCGAUGCAACAAUUGAUAUAAGUGUGAAAACCCUAGAAAAUCCCAUAUUUCCUACUACUAUUAAGAAUAUAUAGUCUACCUCAUUGUUUAUGUGAACGUAUCACAAAAUAAAAGUAAUAGGGAAAAUAUAGCCAUAUAAGUAUUAUCGUUUUGUAUUACGAUAAACACGACAUUGUGACUACCGAAAAGUAUUAACCUUGAACCUCCAUAGAUGUUCAUUUUCCUCUGUAGCUAACAGCAGGUCGAAGGAAUGGUUAGUCCCGUAAAGGUACCCCUAGUAUAAGUAUUAACCAUAGGCAUCCGUAGAUGUUCAUUACCUCUUUUGCUAACAGGUGGGUGCCGGAAUGGUUAGUCCCGUAUAGUAUCCUUUUGUACUAGGAUAGACAGAGCUAAUCUACACGUAUAGUAUGUAAUAGUAUCUCAUCAUAUAGUAUCUAAGUACGAGUAUCCAUGUAAUAGGAUCCAGGUAGGUGUAUCUCUUCAUAUAGCAUUUAUUAUAGACUCAUGAAUGAACUGACUCUGGUGUGAUUCCUUGUAAUAGGAGUAAUGUUUUGUAUCCCCUAAACUAUCCCCAUAAUAGUUUACUGGAAUGUAUUUGUGGUCCAAGAAGGUUUAUACACCCUUGCUACUCAAGUGUGUAGGAACUGAAUGAAGAAUGAAAGCUGUCAUAUCAAUAUAUAUAUAUAUAUAUAUAUAUAUGAACAUAAGUGUAUAGAUAUUGUUUUGAUCAAGAACAUGAAAGAGGUUUUGUAAAACAUUUAAGAGUUUUGAACAAUAAAUAACAAUGACUUGAUGUCAUUUUAUAAAACAUUUCAAAAGUAAUUCAUUUGAUAACAAAGUAUUUUAAGAUAGAAAACCAUUUCAUGUAUCACAUUUUGAAGUAUGUGAAAUCAGUUGGUUGAAAACACAGUUAUAAAUCACAUGCGAUUGAAUCUAUAACAUGUUGUUUUCUACUUGUAUCCCCCCCACCAUUAAAGCAUUUAAAAUCAUUUAAAACAUUGAUUAAGGGGUAUGAACUCACCUGUAGAUGGUGGUUUAGAUGAACUGAACGAUGUAGGAGUGCUAAGUGUCAAGUGAAGACUUGUACACACUCAAAGAUCCUAGUUAACAUAUAAUCACAAAUAUAUGUAUCCAAUUAGUCUUUAAACUACUAAUUGACAAUGUAAGACAUCCUAGGACAUGCUAAAGACCUUAUAUAAGUGUUAUAAGUCCCAAGGAUUGCAUCUAAGUUGUUGUAGGACAAAGUUAUUGGGUUUAGGGUUCCAAAGGACCCCUUUCUUGAGUUUACUCCCCAAGGACCAUAACCCAAUGAGUUUACGGUCGUAAACCCUUGAGUUUACGGCCGUAAUCUCCAAAGCUUUUGAUCAUUUGAUGGUUUGAAGCCUUACAUGUCCCUUAGAAGUAUUUCUACUUGAUGGUUUAGUCCUUGGAAGAGAUUANUUAGGGCACCCCCUCCUUUGAGGAGUUCACGGCCCUAAGACCAAUUCCCUUUGUGUUUGCGGAUGUAAUCUCAUAUGGACCAUGGUAUUUUUGUGCUAUCAAGUCCCAUACACAUUAAGGUAUGAGUCUAGGCUAGUUUCACAAGGAAAGGAAGGGACUAGGGCACAAUUUUGGCCCUUAAAUAAGGGUUUACGGUCCAAGGUGUUCUUGGGCCGUAAACUCUUUGAACUUGUUGAUUCCUUAUGAUUUCUUGAUGUAUAGACAUAUAACAAGCCCUAUUAUACUCUAAGAUAGAAGCACUUACAAUUUGGGACGAAAGACUGAAGAUCCUUGAGAGAGAAUCAGGUUUUUCUCUAGUUGAAAAUGGAACAAAUGAAUAAAAAUGGCUAAGGGCCAUAUAUAUACCCCAUGGGGUUUACGACCGCAAACUCCAUGUUUGGGUCGUAAAUUCCAAUUUCUUGGAUUAUGAAAUGUUAUUGUUGCACAAUAAACCCUAGGGCAUCCCCUCUCCUGGCAUCUCCUAAAGUGUUAAUCAUAGAAUACUCAAACUUAUCCCAAAUAGUCUGAAAAUUAACAGUAACUGUUCUGACUUCUAUUGACUUGGUAUGUUGUAUAGAAUGGAAAUUUCGAGUUGUCACAUCAUCCCCCCGUUAGAAGGAAUUUCGUCCCGAAUUUAGAAUUUAAGCAAAUAAGUAGUUAUAAAUAACUGAGCAAAAAGAUGAGGAUAUUUCAGUUUCAUCUGAUCCUCUCGCUCCCAAGUGAACUCCGGUCCUCGCUUGGCGUUCCAGCGAAACUUCACUAUCGGGAUGCGGCUUUGCUUCGUUUGCUUGACCUCUCUGUCCAUGAUCUCUACUGGUUCUUCCACGAAGUUGAGGCUCUCGUUGAUCUCGAUCUCGUUGAGUGGGAUUACAAGUUCGAGACGUGGAAGGUAGAAUGUACGUUACUAAGUUCGCGCGGUAGAUUGAGUUUGUAAGCUACGGGGCCGAUUUGGGCAAGAAUCUAGAAAGGCCCUAUGUAUCUUGGAUUGAGCUUCGUACGCUUUACGAAGCGUAUCAAGCCCUUCCAGGGUGAGACCUUCCGUAGAACACGGUCGCCCACCUGGAAUUCCAAUGGUUUCCUUCGCUUGUCAGCGUAGCUUUUAUGUCGGUCUCUAGAGGCUUUCAAUCAUUCACGAAUUUGAACGAUCUUCUCUGUCGUUUCCUGAAUGAUCUCCAAACCCGUGAGAGUGCUUUCGGGAACUCGUCCCUUAGCUAACUUGGUAUCACCCACCUCAGCCCAGCACAGAGGGGAUCUGCACUUUUGGCCAUAGAGGGCUUCAAAAGGAGCUGCCUUUAUGCUCGUGGGAUAACUGUUGUUGUAGGAAAAUUCGACAAGGGGUAAAUGAGUAUCCCAAGCUUUCCCAAAGUCAAUCACACGGGCUCGCAAAAUAUCUUCUAAGGUUUGGAUAGUUCUCUCACUUUGUCUGUCGGUUAGUGGAUGGUAGGCUGUACUCAUGUCCAUCCUAGUUCCUAGGGAACAUUGUAGCGGCUGCAUGAACCUAGAAGUGAAUCUACUAUCUCUAUCUGAGAUAAUGGAUAUGGGAACACCGUGUAGUCGUACAAUCUCCCUAAUGUAGGUUCUCGUAAGUUUCUGCAUUUUUUCAGUUUCUUUGAUGGGUAGGAAGUGUGCAGACUUGGUCAAUCUGUCGACGAUGACCCAUAUGGUAUCAAGUCCACCCGUUGCCUUGAGAAAAUUGGUUAUGAAGUCCAUAGUGAUCCGCUCCCACUUCCAUUCUGGUAUCUCUGGUUGCUGCAGAAGACCGGAGGGUUUCUGGUAUUCGACCUUUACCUUCGCGCAAGUAAGGCAUNGUAUAAGGCUUCGCCACCCUUGACUUC